Molecule: unclassified non-coding RNA, 1232 nt
Filed under: Hevea brasiliensis (rubber tree)
Lineage: Eukaryota; Viridiplantae; Streptophyta; Magnoliopsida; Malpighiales; Euphorbiaceae
Source: RNAcentral
UGACUGUUUGCUCACCCCUACUCUCCUCCCUUCCUAACUGCUAGUCUUUGGUGGUUUUUGGACACGCAUACAUGUGUUGUGCUGUGCUAAGAUGGAGGUGUAUUAAAAGAAAUUCUGACUGCUGUUGGUGGUAGGGAGGAAGAACAACCAUGUUUCCACGUGAGGGAAUAGACCAAGUAAGGAGAGGGGGAAAAAAAGUAGUAACGUUAAGAGAAAAGUGAGUUCUAAAAUAGUAAAAAGAAAAUUUGAAAAUCAUUUUUUCGUUUUAGUGAAACCAAAAACCAAAAGAUAACAAACUUACCGAGCGCACCAUAAAUGAUCCUAAUUACUGUGUAGGAAGAAAAUAAACUCCUUGAUAGCCCAAUGUGUUAUUGUUAGAAUAAAAUAUUUUUAAAAUUGCAAAAAAUAUACAAUAGCCUAAAUUAGUAAUGGUAAAAGAUACAAUUCUUGAUUUCCUUGUUCAUAAGCAAAAUCACUAGGGCAACUUCUAUGAGAAAGAAUUUUAUUUGAUUGACAUUUGUUUUUCAUAGUAAUAAAAUGAGCUUCCCUCUUUUGACAUCAGUUGUUUAUUUAAAAUAGAUCAUAUACUAGGUAAGAUCCAAAAUAGCUUUUCAUUCAUCUUCUAAAAUCAUAGCUUCUAGGAUCAUCCUAUUUCUUCAUUAUACUUGCUGGUAUCCUACUGAGAUCUCCUCCAACAAAGAAGAUCUUGUUACUGGAUAUGCCUUGAAUGAUGUGGUACAUGUUCUCCAAAUAAUAUUGCUAAUUUACCUCCUCCAAUUUGACUAGCAGGGCAUAUGCACUACUAACAUCAUUCAUCUCUCCUCCAAGAACUAGCAAGACCAAGAUUAUUUUCUCUUAAUUAUAUUCACCGAACUAUUGCAUCUUUUGAACUCUUAUCUAUUCCACUCUAUUUUUUGCUCUUACCAACCCUCAGGUACCAAAGUUUAUAGCGUGCAAUCCCAAUUUCCUUCAAUUUCCCUUGCAUCUAUUUUGUCUAAUAAAUUGAAGCACAGUAACUUCCUCCUACCAAUCACGUCCAGCAACUCUGUUAACUCCUAGUAACAUUCCAAUAUUCUGCACUCCUAAAUCUAUCGUACUCAGAUGGACAGGUUCUCUUAUUCACAUCCAUGCAUUAUCAUAAUCAUACAGGGGCUCUUAUCUAUUUCUCCUAAAUUCUGAAUCAUAUAUAAAACCAAUGAUCACAAAUCCUUGCAUAAUUGACAUUAUUCUUU